GUUGCGGCUGGGGCGGCUUCACUUGGUUACAAUGUGGCAGAUUUACAACCCUACGCUGAGAACUCAGAUGACAAUAACUGCCCAAUUUGCGUGAUUAGUUUACGGAGGAAGAAUGCAGUAAUGCUAGCUAAGUGCAGACACUAAUUCUGUAAGAAUUGUGUCACGCUUUGGUUUAAGACUCGUCCCACCUGCCCAGUAUGCACCAUGGCGUAUGCACUUAGGACCGGAACUCAACAGUAAGGAACAAUGACCGUGCGCAUUAUUUCUGCUGGUAGUUCUGGACUCUGAAAUGGAAUUCACGGUUAUCCUGGCAUCGACAUCAUGAAAAUUUCAAUGACUUCCCAAACGGAACACAAGGUUCCGAGCAUCCAAAUCCGGGACAGCCAUACUCGGGCUCUAGUCGAGUUGCAUACCUGCUUUGUACCAAAGAAGGUGAAGAUGUAUUGAGCCUUUUAAAGAUAGCCUGGGAUCGCAGGUUGCUGUUCAGCGUAGGAACCUCCAUCACCACAGGACGAAGGAAUGUAGUCACAUGGGCAGGAAUCCACCACAAGACCAGAACAUGGGGAGGACCUACGAACUUUGGUUAUGUAUCACACCCCUUUAUUUUGGUUUUCGGUUUAUUUGUGUUUGUCUGAACAAGUUUUUCUGCUGUAUUCUCACGUUGAAUUUAAAGCAUCAUUCUUAUACUCAUCCGAGGAAUCACAAUAUUGCCCGAUGAUACGUACUUCGCCAGAGUUAAGGCGGAACUUGCUGAAAAGGAGUGAAGUGAUAUUCUACAAGCUUCAACCAGCAAAAUUUGACAGAGAUGCGGAUUCCGGCAAGAAUGUAUUUUGAACAAGAAAGAACGGCUGGUUUCUGCAAGCAUGAAUGCCGUUCAUGAUGGAUGUACAUUCAUACAUUGGUUUUAUCCCCAGUUGAGGGUUGCACGAGGUCUCGCAGUUGGUUUUUCUUGGAGGCCAUUUUAUUGCGAAACAGAAUGUCAACAUUAGCUGUCACGAAUAGCGGAACGCAAUUUUGCCUGAGAUCAUCCUUCAUUGAUGAGCUGAGCGUGAUGUAAUCAAGUCCUUGGAGCAUCGACAUGAAUCGUCAGUGCAAUGGACAUCACAGACGUAACACUUUUUUGUAAUGGCAGGUCGUGGUUGGAGAUUCAAUGCACCUUUCUCUGGAUAGUGGGUACUGGUGAAGUUGCUUUGUGACACUUUUAGGUUUUUUGUGUUUUUUUAAUUCGAUAAUCAACAUUACAUAUCUUAAGCAAAUGUUGAUCACCUAGAAUUGUGUUGUUUCCAUCGUGAAAAAGAGUGUGUCUAUAAUUAGAUAAAUUGUAGAUAUACAUGAAGAGAAUCUGAGGGAUAAAACAGAGUGCAAUAAAUAAUAAUAAA
Molecule: non-coding RNA, 1379 nt
Organism: Physcomitrium patens
Lineage: Eukaryota; Viridiplantae; Streptophyta; Bryopsida; Funariales; Funariaceae
Source: RefSeq, a predicted model, not a curated record